This 231-nucleotide unclassified non-coding RNA is filed under the name fungal sp. RNAcentral's name for it is "partial internal transcribed spacer region". The stretch from base 1 to 47 matches the Rfam family "Eukaryotic small subunit ribosomal RNA", at positions 1785 to 1831 of the family's 1831-position model. Lineage: Eukaryota; Fungi. The record is from RNAcentral.
AAAGUCGUAACAAGGUUUCCGUAGGUGAACCUGCGGAAGGAUCAUUAAAAAGGAUACCGGGCAACCGGUAGACCCCACCCGUGUCUAUCUACUCUUGUUGCUUUGGCAGGCCGUGGCCUCCACCGCGGGCUCUGCCUGCGUGUGCCUGCCAGAGGACUAAACUCUGAACUUUAGUGAUGUCUGAGUACUAUAUAAUAGUUAAAACUUUCAACAACGGAUCUCUUGGUUCUG